RNAcentral lists this unclassified non-coding RNA (201 nucleotides) under uncultured fungus. RNAcentral's name for it is "sequence contains ITS1, 5.8S rRNA gene". Lineage: Eukaryota; Fungi. The record is from RNAcentral.
ACAAAUCCUUUUCUAUUGUGUUUGUGCAUUGAUUGAUUGAUUCAUGUGUGUACAUUUAUUUGUGUGUAUGCAUGCUUUCAUCCAUUCAAUGAUCACACCACAUUUGUUCCAUGUGCAAUUUGUAUUUAUAUGCAUCUUGUACAUUUGACAUUUCUGCUUUAUUUGUCUGAUUAUAUAUUAUGGUUGGAGAAUGACAAAGAA